RNAcentral lists this ribosomal RNA (493 nucleotides) under uncultured bacterium. RNAcentral describes it as "bacterial SSU rRNA". It matches the Rfam family "Bacterial small subunit ribosomal RNA", at positions 903 to 1397 of the family's 1533-position model. The record is from RNAcentral.
AAAGGAAUUGACGGGGACCCGCACAAGCAGUGGAGCAUGUGGUUUAAUUCGAUGCAACGCGAAGAACCUUACCCAGGCUUGACAUGCAGUAGACCGGUUUAGAGAUAGACCUUUCCUUCGGGACUGCUGCACAGGUGCUGCAUGGCUGUCGUCAGCUCGUGCCGUGAGGUGUUGGGUUAAGUCCCGCAACGAGCGCAACCCUUAUCGUUAGUUGCCAGCAUUUUAGGUGGGAACUCUAACGAGACUGCCUGGGUUAACCAGGAGGAAGGUGAGGAUGAUGUCAAGUCCGCAUGGCCCUUAUGUCUGGGGCUACACACGUGCUACAAUGGCCGAUACAGAAGGAAGCAAAUCCGCGAGGUGGAGCAAAUCCCGAAAGUCGGCCCCAGUUCAGAUUGUAGUCUGCAACUCGACUACAUGAAGAUGGAAUUGCUAGUAAUGGCGAGUCAGCAACAUCGCCGUGAAUACGUUCCCGGGUCUUGUACACACCGCCCGU